GACGAACGCUGGCGGCGUGCCUAAUACAUGCAAGUCGAACGCUUCUUUUCUACCGAGUGCUUGCACUCACUUGAAAAGAGGAGUGGCGGACGGGUGAGUAACACGUGGGUAACCUGCCCAUCAGAGGGGGAUAACACUUGGAAACAGGUGCUAAUACCGCAUAACAGUCGACACCGCAUGGUGUUGAUUUGAAAGACGCUUUCGGGUGUCACUGAUGGAUGGACCCGCGGUGCAUUAGCUAGUUGGUGAGGUAACGGCUCACCAAGGCCAUGAUGCAUAGCUGACCUGAGAGGGUGAUCAAACUCUCCUGGACG
This 314-nucleotide ribosomal RNA is filed under the name uncultured bacterium. RNAcentral describes it as "bacterial SSU rRNA". It matches the Rfam family "Bacterial small subunit ribosomal RNA", at positions 28 to 320 of the family's 1533-position model. The record is from RNAcentral.